UGGGGAAUAUUGGACAAUGGGCGAAAGCCUGAUCCAGCCAUGCCGCGUGUGUGAAGAAGGUCUUCGGAUUGUAAAGCACUUUAAGUUGGGAGGAAGGGCAGUAAGCGAAUACCUUGCUGUUUUGACGUUACCGAAAGAAUAAGCACCGGCUAACUCUGUGCCAGCAGCCGCGGUAAUACAGAGGGUGCAAGCGUUAAUCGGAAUUACUGGGCGUAAAGCGCGCGUAGGUGGUUCGUUAAGUUGAAUGUGAAAGCCCCGGGCUCAACCUGGGAACUGCAUCCAAAACUGGCGAGCUAGAGUAGGGCAGAGGGUGGUGGAAUUUCCUGUGUAGCGGUGAAAUGCGUAGAUAUAGGAAGGAACACCAGUGGCGAAGGCGACCACCUGGGCUCAUACUGACACUGAGGUGCGAAAGCGUGGGGAGCAAACAGG
This 429-nucleotide ribosomal RNA is filed under the name Pseudomonadota bacterium. Its description in RNAcentral is "Proteobacteria bacterium partial 16S ribosomal RNA". It matches the Rfam family "Bacterial small subunit ribosomal RNA", at positions 355 to 776 of the family's 1533-position model. The record is from RNAcentral. Lineage: Bacteria; Pseudomonadati; Pseudomonadota.